Molecule: ribosomal RNA, 1253 nt
Filed under: wastewater metagenome
Description: bacterial LSU rRNA
Rfam family: Archaeal large subunit ribosomal RNA
Source: RNAcentral
AGGGAGUUGAAAGUCCGUACCGAGAUCCAACACUGGUGCCCCAAGCUGAGAAGGCUAAGGCGUUUCGGCAUAUGCUAGCUAAGGGAAUUCGGCAAAUUAGCCACGUAACUUCGGGAUAAGUGGUGCCUGCUUUGCAAAAAGCAGGUCGCAGUGACGAGGGGACUCUAACUGUCUAAUAACAACAUAGGUGAUUGCGAAUCCGUAAGGACUAGUACAAUCACUGAAUCCUGCCCAGUGCAGGUACCUGAAAACCCGGUUCAACGGGAGGAAGGGCCUGUCAACGGCGGGGGUAACUAUGACCCUCUUAAGGUAGCGUAGUACCUUGCCGCUUAAUUGGCGGCUUGCAUGAAUGGAUCAAUGAGAGUCCCACUGUCCCUAGCUGGUACCCGGUGAACCUUACAUUCCAGUGCAGAGUCUGGAGACCCCUAAUGGGAAGUGAAGACCCCGUGGAGCUUUACUGCAGCCUGCCGUUGGGCUGUGGUUCUGAUUGUAGAGCAUAGGUAGGAGACGUCGAAGCUCGGGCGCCAGUCCGAGUGGAGUCGCCCUUGGAAUACUACCCUUUCGGAGCCGCCGCCCUCACUCUGAGAAGAGGACCUCGGUAGGUGGGCAGUUUGGGUGGGGCGCCACGCCCUUGAAAAGAUAUCAAGGGCGCCCUAAGGUUGACUCAGUUGGGUCGGAAACCCAACAAAGAGUGUAAAGGCAUAAGUCAGCCUGAUGUUACCUCGCAUAGCAAGAGGUGAUAAGACGAAAGUCGGGCUUAGCGAACCUCUCAGCUCUCUUGGUGAGAGCGUUAGAUGACAGAAAAGCUACCCCGGGGAUAACAGAGUCGUCACCGGCAAGAGCACAUAUCGACCCGGUGGCUUGCUACCUCGAUGUCGGUUCUUUCCAUCCUGGCCGUGCAGCAGCGGCCAAGGGUGAGGUUGUUCGCCUAUUAAAGGAGAUCGUGAGCUGGGUUUAGACCGUCGUGAGACAGGUCGGUUACUAUCUGUUAGGGGUGUAUUGCGGUCUGAGGGCAGGUUGGUUUUAGUACGAGAGGAACAAACCAACGGCACCUCUGGUCUAUCGGUUGUCUGGCAAGGCAUGCCGAGCAGCUACGUGCUCGCGGAUAAGGGCUGAAAGCAUCUAAGCCCGAAACCGCCCCUGAAAAGAGACCGCUUAGAGUACUCGUAAAAGACGAGUUUGAUAGAGCUGGUGUGUACGCACCAAGGCAACGAGGUGUUCAGCUCGCAGCUACUAAUAACUCUGCAGCGCUC